RNAcentral lists this long non-coding RNA (1813 nucleotides) under Daphnia pulex (common water flea). Its description in RNAcentral is "uncharacterized LOC124188884". The record is from RNAcentral. Lineage: Eukaryota; Metazoa; Arthropoda; Branchiopoda; Diplostraca; Daphniidae.
CAGAGGUUGGGUGAGAACGGGACCUUUUGCAUCAUUAUCAAGAAGUUGUUUUUAAGGACAAAGAAAAGGCGAAAGAAAUCAGUCGAGUGAGCAUCUCCGAUAUGCAAGAGCUGUAGUGCGCCGUUCGUCACAAACUGCAUUCUUCGUCGCAUUGCUAGUUUUAAAUCAUGGUAAACUUUGGCGUCGUGCUGCUGUUGAGUGUUGUAUGGCUGACCGCUGGUUCAGCCAUGGUGUACCAAUGUCUCCUGGGUAUGGCGGAUAAGAAAUCGCACCGCCGCUACCUUACUAUACAAUAUACGACACGGCCAGUUGCUACAACAAGGCCCCCAAGUACUACACCACUAAAGCUCCAGAUUAUUAUACCACAACUUAUGCUGCCCUGAGCUACUUCACCGAAGCCCUAAGUAUUAUUCUUCCCCGAGCUACAGUACCAGAGGUUCGAGUACUACACCGAUUCUCCGAAGUACUAUACUACCAAGGCACCGGAGUACUGCACAACUACACAUGGUUGUUAAAAGAUAGAAAAGGUGAAAGAAAUCAGUCGAGUGGUCAUCUCUGACACGACAACAGCAACUGCAGUGCCAAGGAUCAGUAUUACACCACAACUUAUGUUGCCCCGAGAUACUACACCAAAGCGCCUGAGUGCUAUAUCGAGGCCACUUAUUACUACACCACUAAGACAUCGGAUUAAUACACUGCAACAUGCGCUGCCCCAGCUUAUUACACCGAGGCUCCCCAACACUACACCCCCAAGGCACCGGAGUGCUACACCACUACAUAUCAUGGUCGUAUGAAAGGAGAGAAAAGGUGAAAGAAUUCAGCAGCUGAGUGAGCAUCUCCGCUACAGCAACAGGAACUGCCGUGCACUAGUUGUCAUCAACUUCAUUCUUCGUCGCGUUACAAGUGUUAAAUCAAGUUAUAACUAUGGCGUCGUGCUGCUGUUGGGUGUAGUAUAGUCGAUGGCUGGGUCGACCACUGGUGUACCGAUGUCUCCUGGGUAUUGCGGGUACCAAAGCACAACACUGCCGUGCCGUCUUACUAUUUAGCAUCAACUUCCGCUGCUCCAGCUUACUACGCUGUGACUCAAGUGCACCACCAAGGCUCCAGAGUAUUACGCCACAGCUCAUGUUGCCCCGAGCUACUACACUGAAUGCCCGAAGUAUUAUUCUUCCCGGAGUAUGGCUACCUUCACCACGCCGCCUCCUUACUAGCCAACAACGUCAACACCUUCUUACUAUACAAAGACCUCAACUACUAUACCGAGGAUCUAACUUGUUACACCACCGAAAUUCUCAAGUACUGCACUACAACCUACGUUUCCCCAGCUAACACCACGAAGGCAGCGGAGUACUACACCACGAAGGCAGCGGAGUACUACACCACGAAGGCAGCGGAGUACUACACCACGAAGGCAGCGGAGUACUACACCACGAAGGUAGUCGGUUUACUUCACUACAACUUACGCUGCUCCAGAGUACUACACUACAACCUACGCUGCUCCAGAGUACUACACUGAUGUUCCAAAGUACUACAACACUAAAGGCACCCGAGUUUUACAUCACUACUUUCGUUACUACCACAUACUACACCGAAGCUUCGAAAGCACUUCUCUGCCCCGAGUUACUACACGACUAACGCAGCCGAAUGACACCCCAAACUACGAUUCCGUAAAUUUCUACAAGGAAAUUCCUUAUUACUAGAGACGAAAUUUCUACUCAAGGUUAUUUACAUUUAUCGGUUAUUUUCAUGGUAAUUGGUCGCUGGGAAUUAAUUGUUGAUCUUAAAUGAAAAAAUAAAAUUUUUAAUAGGGUAA